CUCCAAAUGCAUGGCGCUUAGCUUCUGGUGAGACAGAGAGACAAUAAAUAUGAUAACUAAAUAUAGUACAGAGAAGGCUGGGAAAUGAUCGUUGCCAAGGAAAAGUAGAAAAACAAAACCGUGUGACAGGAAACUGAAACAGGUGGUUACAGAGAAGAGGGUUGGAUCCCCAGGGUGGUUUCAUUCAGAUCUGACCUCGUGAUGAUCUGGAAGGAACAGGGAAGAACGAUCGUCGAAGCUCUGAAUAUCAAUGUGUGCAACAGGUUGACAAAUAAGGACUUAAAAGAAGGAACUAGAGAGACUUAAGUCACUGAACGAAGGAAAUAACCAGGCGGUUUUACUGAAUUACU
Molecule: long non-coding RNA, 350 nt
Filed under: Sus scrofa (pig)
Lineage: Eukaryota; Metazoa; Chordata; Mammalia; Artiodactyla; Suidae
Description: lncRNA (ENSSSCG00040008189.1)
Source: RNAcentral